This is a long non-coding RNA of Macaca fascicularis (crab-eating macaque), 1948 nucleotides long. The record is from Ensembl. NCBI's taxonomy places the organism in Eukaryota, Metazoa, Chordata, Mammalia, Primates, Cercopithecidae.
UGUCAUCUUCCCCUGCGUGGGAAUUGCUUAAGCUCCCUGGCUGGGAAGCUGCUGCCUUCCACUCAGCGUGCCCGCUGCAGGUGGAUGGUCAAGGCGUGGACUGCCGGGCAUGGGCCCACGGGCACCGGGCACUGGCCCCUUUUCCCUCCUAUCCAGCAAGGGCACAAGAGUGAAUCUACGUGCAGGUGUAAGAGCCACGUCCUCUGUCCCCAGGAUGAGAUAGAGAGAGCCUAGAGAGCCGGUAGAAGCCUAACCUGAGGUUUCCAUGACAACCAUGGAAGCCUCCAGAAACUUCAGCACCCCUACCAACUCCCUCUCAGAACCGCCAGGUUGCCAAAAAAUAUGCAGUACUGAAACGGCAGCCGAAGGAAAGGCAGGAACCAUGUGCUCUCAGACAGGGACCCUUGAGCUUCUCCCCCAGAACCCUCUCUGUACAACACCUGCCUCAGGAACAUGGCCCCUAGUCACCCUCAGUGCACUCACCGGCCACAGAGGAAAAGGCAAAACAGGAUGUAAAUAUGCUCUCUCUGUAAUGUGCUUUCUGUCCUAAGGAUGCUCAUGAAAGCCAGAGACUAACACAGCUCCGGAGAGAGUCAGGAAGAGUGGAACUGUAGGCCUUGCCUGCCUUUCCCAAAUGCACUGCCAGGAUUCCCAGUUGUGUGCACUACACCUGAAUACUGAUCCAAAAGGCCUUUCCAGAAUGUGUCCUGAUGACCGGGGCGACUUGCCAAAUGCCGCUUGGGUUUGAGAAGGCUGACCAGGAUGCACAGUGCAUGGGAUGAGGUUGCACAGUCAAUGUCCCUUGACGCUGAGACUUCACUUGGCUCUAACUCCAUGAGACAAAGUCAUAGGAAAGCCUGAAACUGGAAUGCUCACCUGAGAACAAACAGUGGUGCUAGUGAAUUCUUAUCCUUGACACUGGCGGAGUGGCUCAGCUCUCCAAACGCUGUCCUGCCUUCUCUCCAUUCCCAGCCAGGAAAAGCAAAGCCAGCCCGGGUCGCCUUGUCCUGGUGCAAAAUCCAUCGGGCUUCGCAGCCUCCGGUGCCUGCACAAGUCUCCUUUAAGCCGGAACUUGCCUCUCACCAUUUCCAUGGCGGAAUCAUUGCAUCUGUAAUAAUUUUCCAUCCGAGGCUGGAGAGGAGGCGGCUGCAGCUUUACCUGCUGUUCAAACCAGGCAUGGUCGAGAGAGACCAUUUUUCUUUGUGUUUGAAACCAACAGGAGGACGAAAAGGCCCCAUAAAUACAGCCAAUCAGGAGUAUUUUAUAUCUAUUGCUGCGAUGAGAAAGCCCCCUGUAACGAAAUAGAAGAGGGAUGCAUGGAAAUAAGAAAAAAAAAAAAAAGAAGUAAAGGAAGAAAGAUUUAGGGAAAAAAGGAAGCAAGGUUAAUCCUUCAUGUUGAAAGCUCCUGUGGUUUAUAGCAAAAUAGGGCUUUGGACUGUCAGGGCUAUUAGUCAAGGGUUAAAUGUCACUCAAAUCACGCCCGUUAUGAAUUGGAAAGUGGGUGUGUGUGUGUGUUUGUGAUGUGCGUGUGCGUGUGAUGUGGCUGUGGGAGAAGGAUAGAGAUUCUACUUUUUUAUGCAUUUCAAAUUGAGCCACGCUGGCCUGGAGAUGACCCGCCACACGAUUUUUAAAUUAUCUCUGUGUGCGCUCUGCUUGUUUUGGAAAUGCUCUAAAUAAAAAUAAUGGACUGUCUUUUAAUAAGUCUCAUUGUGAGGAUUCCACAUAUCAAACAACGCAGUGCAGCUUGGAGGCAAACGGCGGGCGUGUGUGAUCUCCUGGAAGAGAGACAAAUGGCAGUGUGGGGAGCUCCAUCCAGGGAACGCUGACAAGGAAAUGGCAUUCUGAAACUGACACAUCUGUCAGGGCGGAGGAUAUUGGCACCUGUCAUGCAAUUUCAGUCAUGACUUUUAAUAAAGCUGCUUUCCCUUAGGUAAAAUUGGAACUUGAC